UCCGUCACAGCCAUAUCACCCUGCAGCCCAAGACUGGUUGCCCACUGAAGCUAAGCAGGGUUGAGCCUGGUCAGUACCUGGAUGGGAGACCUCCUGGGAAAACUAGGUUGCUGCUGGAA
RNAcentral lists this ribosomal RNA (119 nucleotides) under Sinocyclocheilus rhinocerous. Lineage: Eukaryota; Metazoa; Chordata; Actinopteri; Cypriniformes; Cyprinidae. The record is from RNAcentral.